This 1347-nucleotide long non-coding RNA is filed under the name Macaca fascicularis (crab-eating macaque). RNAcentral's name for it is "lncRNA (ENSMFAG00000055822.1)". Lineage: Eukaryota; Metazoa; Chordata; Mammalia; Primates; Cercopithecidae. The record is from RNAcentral.
GGCUUCCGCUGGAGUAAAGCAAGAGGGCCCAGGGUUCAUGUUAUUCCCUGGAAGGUGGAAAAGGACAGACCACCAGGGAGCCUCCACUGCAAACUGACCUUCGCUGCCUGCACUGGCUGGAUGUUCCUUGAGCCUUCACUCUGCAUCUGGGCAGUCUUCCAGCCCACUGAGAGUGGCAGUGGUAGGAAGCUGGUGGAAGCGAAUCCCUCUGCAUCAGUUGAGUUCCUAGGGUGGCCACAUGGGGGCUGCCCAACCUUGGCAGUCCUGCACACAAGUAGGAUGUGGUCUCCGCCCGUGAUUGGGUACCUGGUCAGGCUGGCAGAUCCAAAUGGUGCCCAGUGGGCAGCUAGCUGUCCAACCCCUGGGGGGGCAAGCCAGGAAAGAACCUCUUAGGGCCCGCUGUGACCAGAUGUCCCUCCCAGCAGGGAAGACUAAACUGGUUUGGCCAAUACCUCCCAGGAUUCCCCUGUCCAAAUUAUUCCUGGGAUCUGACCCAUUUCCUGAAAAGGGCCGAGCCUGGGUUUUAAAGUUCAAACUACUUGAGUUUAAAUCACAACUCUGCCCCUAAUCCCAUGUAACCCUGUGCACCUUACUCCCCGCUAAGCUUUCCUCUCGUGUGUAACUCUGCUAACUCCUGAGAGACUGGACAAGAUGCCAUGGAGAGCCUUGGCUCUGAGUAGCUCUGCUGCUGGACAGUCAGUUGGCAGUCCCCAAAUGUAAGGCAUAAGAGUUUAAGAAGUAUUGGCCUGAGCCGGGUGCGGUGGCUCAAGCCUGUAAUCCCAGCACUUUGGGAGGCUGAGACGGGCGGAUCACGAGGUCAGGAGAUCGAGACCAUCCUGGCGAACACGGUGAAACCCCAUCUCUACUAAAAAAAUACAAAAAACUAGCCGGGCGAGGUGGCGAGCGCCUGUAGUCCCAGCUACUCAGGAGGCUGAGGCAGGAGAAUGGCGUGAACCCGGGAGGCGGAGCUUGCAGUGAGCUGAGAUCCGGCCACUGCACUCCAGCCUGGGCGACAGAGGAGACUCCCUCUCAAAAAAAAAAAAAAAAAGUAUUGGCCAGGCAGUGGCUCACACCUGUAAUCCCAGCACUUUGGGAUGCUGCGACGGGCCGAUCGCCUGAGGUUGGGAGCUUGAGAACAGCCUGAACAACAUGGAGAAACCCUGUCUCUACUAAAAAUACAAAAUUAGUUGGGCAUGGUGGUGCGCGCCUGUAAUCCCAGUUACUCAGGAGGCUGAGGCAGGAGAAUCGCUUGAACCCUUGAGGUGGAGGUUGCGUUGGGCUGAGAUCGUGCAAUUGCACCCCAGCCUGGGCAACAAGAGUGAAACUUGUCUCCAAAUAAAAAAAAAA